RNAcentral lists this ribosomal RNA (380 nucleotides) under uncultured bacterium. RNAcentral describes it as "partial 16S ribosomal RNA". It matches the Rfam family "Bacterial small subunit ribosomal RNA", at positions 338 to 734 of the family's 1533-position model. The record is from RNAcentral.
CCUACGGGAGGCAGCAGUGGGGGAUAUUGCACAAUGGCGGAAACCCUGAUGCAGCGAAGCCGCGUGAGUGACGAAGUAUCUCGGUAUGUAAAGCUCUAUCAGCCGGGGAGAAAAAAGACGGUACAUGACUAAGAAGCGCCGGCUAAAUACGUGCCAGCAGCCGAGGUAAUACGUAGGGGGCAAGCGUUAUCCGGAUUUACUGGGUGUAAAGGGAGCGUAGACGGCAAUACAAGUCGGAGGUGAAAUACCCGGGCUCAACCUGGGAACUGCUUGUGAAACUGUAUGGCUGGAGUGCUGGAGAGGUAAGCGGAAUGUCUGGUGUAGCGGUGAAAUGCGUAGAGAUUAGGAGGAACACCAGUGGCGAAGGCGGCUUACUGGAC